Long non-coding RNA from Manis pentadactyla (Chinese pangolin), 5239 nucleotides. RefSeq lists it as uncharacterized. The record is from RefSeq and is a predicted model, not a curated record. The transcript has 6 exons. Lineage: Eukaryota; Metazoa; Chordata; Mammalia; Pholidota; Manidae.
GCGCGCUCGCUACCCCGACGCUACGCUGGCCGCCGAGCCCCUGCCGCCCGGGCCCCACCUCCGCGGCGAGCUCGGGGACCCCCUGGGCUGGGGAGGCAGCGGGAGCGGGCGGCUAGGGUCGCCGGGAAGAGCGAAGCGGGCGCGGGCGCGGGCUCGGGAGGCGCAGGAGGGAAGGCCAACCCUCCCGGCCUCGCCCAGACGCCCGCGCGUCCUUCCCUAGGAAGCGGCGGCCCGCCUCGCCCCCCGCGCCGCCGCCGCCGCCGCAGCCGAGGUUCCCUGAAGGUCUGCGCCCGGUGGCGAGAGCAGUCACCGGGGCGUCCCUGCAGCGAGCGGCCGCCAACGGCAACACGCGCCCGGCGCGCCCGCUUCUCGCCGCCACCUUGGCCCUGCCGCGCCCACCGCCCGGAUGGCGCGCCUGUAAUUUUUCCCUACUGAGAUCAGCUUUGUCAGAUCAACAAGAAACUGAUGAGUAUUUUUGUUCUGUGAAUAUCUUAAAAAGGUCUACAGAGGAGACCCAAGAAAUGGUGGCGCGAGAAUGUGAGCGGCAAACUUCAGUAGAUUCCCUGAGGAGGGAAGUGGCAUUGUUGCAAGACGUGGCAGGAUAACACGAGCUGCAGACUUCUGUGGAUUCCCUGAGGAGGGAGAUGGCCUGGAUGCGGGAGGAGGCAGCACGAGAGCGCCCGCAGCAAGGGGCCAUUGGAGAUGAGAUGGGAGUGCUUCCAGGUGUUGCGAAGGAGGAAGAGGCCAUGAAGGAAAAGGACGAACCCCUGAGUGAGGCACAGGUGGAGGCAGCACGAGAACGUCAGCUGCACAGCAUUGAGCUUAAGGGUCCCAGCUUCUGAACACACUUCCAUGGGUGAGAGGGCCGCCUUCUCAGCCCCACUGUGACGGUGCUCGCCUGCUCUGCAGACGUCAGUGGGGAGUGAUGGGGUCUGGCGCUUCAUGGAGGGAACAGCAGAUGGGAGUCCCCACCGCCUCCUUGUGCGUGUUAUUGGUUGGUGUGCUUCCCAGACUCAAGUUGAAACCAAUGCAUCAGGCUUAACCCAGCACCUGGAAGGUUUCGCUGCAGGAGGAAGUCCUUCCUGCUGCUGUGGUAGAAAAUGCAGCUUCCCCUGGGCGUUACUAUUCUGAGAAGAGGUUUAGGACCUGGGACAUCUUCCUGUUUACGUACUCCUCAGGUACGAUCGUUUAAUUGUAAAAGCAUGUAAUUAUAUAAUGUGUACAAUAAUUAAUACAUGCAUAUCAAAUUAAUAAUAUGAAAAUAUUAUCAUUUAAGUACAGUUCUUAGUUCCUUAGGCAAGCAAGUACAUCGCGGAUGCACAGGUGAAUUUAAAGUACCCCUCAUAGUAAUACAAGAGCUACACUCAGGCAGGAGGUGAUGCAGGGACACUGGCACGAGUCGUGUCUAUAUAUAUGUUUCCUCUGAAGCGCAGGCAGGACGCCGUCAUCUCCCUUCUCAGCAGAGCUCAGUGGCGUCCGACUGCACCAGGGCACCUGUGCCCGGAGCCCUGCCAGCUGCCUUUCCUCCUCCUGCAUUCCAAGGUGUUCCUCGUCCUUCACGUACCCUUGGCUGCAAGCUCGUCUGGCCUGUUUGCUGUUCCCCCGGAGGUCAUGCUUUGUGUCUCUAGCCUUUGGUCGGUGAGGGAUACCUUUUAACUCCUUAUUUGCUUAUAAGAGCCUAUUAACCCCACAAGCCUGAGUUCAAAUGCCUUCUCUUUCAUGAAACCUUUCUCAGUCCUACUAAGAAUCAAUCAUUUUUUCCUCUCUCUUCCUCAUUGCUGGCCUACUGUGUGUACCGCUUUACCCAUGUGGGCCUCUCUUAUUUAUAUCUGGCUGGUUUGUUCAUCUCUCCAUACCGUCACUCAACAAUACUUUUCUGAAAGCCUGUCUGUCGCUGGCACUAUGCAAGGAUAUGGGGAUGUAAUGGGAAGCAGAAAGCAGACAUGGUGCCUGUGCUCCGGGAGCUCACGGUCUUCGGGUGGAGGGGGGCAGUAAGAGCACAAUGAAACCCCAAAGCUAAACCCGCAGCUGUGACCAGAGUGAGGGAGAUGGGCAGAUUGGUGUGCGUGUGUGUGACUGCAGUCUCCUUAGUGUCAGGGACAGCCUCUGGCUUGGUGGAGCCGGCAGUCAGAUAAGUCAGCUAUGGCAUGUAAUGAGGUACAUGCUCUCUGUCACGGGUUGAUCUGUGUACCCCCAAAAGAUACGUGGAAGUCUUAGGUCCAGUACCUGUGAACAUGACUGGAGUAGGGUUUUUGCAAGUGCAACCAAGUGAAGAUGAGGUCACCCUCGAUUCGAAUGGGCCCUUAUCCAGGAUGACUUCUGUCCAGUAAGGGGAGGAGACAAGACACAGACAGACACGGGGGAGAUGGCUGUGGGAAGACAGAGGCCAAGACUGGAGUGGUGAGUUCACGAGCCGAGGAGUGCCAGGGGGAGGCGUCACCACCUCAAGCUAGAGGAGACAGACUGGAACAGAUUCUCCUUCCAGCCUCCGGAAGAAACCCUCUCUGACUACACCUGGACUUCAGACUUCCAGCCUCCAGAACAGUGCAGGAAUAGCAUCCUGGCCCUUCGGUCUCCAGCCCCUGCGUCCUCGGGCAUUUUUUGCUUGUCUCUCUGGUUGAAAUGGUUCACUUCAAGAUGGAGCGGCAAUGACACCUUUUCCCCUUUGCUUGUUGUUAACAAUGGGUAGAGAAGGAGAGGACCAAGAUGUGCAGGGACACCUGUAAGUGACACGAGUCAGUUACUUACUCAUCCGGGAUGCUGCCCCCCUUCUUCUUGGAGUCCCUUCCCCUCCUGUUGCUUCCCAAAUCCUUGCACUUGGCCAUCACAAUGCCACUUCUGUGGCACCUCCUCAAGUCUCCCAAAUCUCCAUUGCAUCAUUUUCCUAUAUGACGUUUUAUUUCGGUGGGUUUUCCCAAGCAGAUUGUGAGUCCAUGGGGGACAGGGAACCACACUACCCCAGUGAGUACCAAGGAACUACCUCUUGAAUAAGUGUUGCAAUAAAUGAGUGAAUGAGCAAAUGAAAUUCCCGGAGCUGAGUUAGGCCAGGAACACCCCGUCUUUUUGCAGGCACUUCCAGUCUUACACACCUAAGACCAUAUCCAUGAAACUCUGUGGUGGGUCCCUAAGCGAAUCGCAGGAGGCAGGCACAGGACGGCAGCGGCAGCUUGGAGAAGGUCAGCUCUGCUUGGGUCUCCUAGUCUUGUUGUGAGUGGAGAAUUGAGUCAGUGUUUUCACAGGCUCGGCUCUUGAGACCGUUGAUCCGAGGUGCCAAGCAGAGGUGGCAGGGUCAUAGCCGAACGGGUUGGGCCAGGCUGACAGCCUUGGCUCUUGGUACAGAGGGAUAAGGCUGAAGGGGAGGUUCUACUCAGAAAUCUUUGAUGCCCAAAGUCCACAGGUUGCAUUAAGGGAUGUGGUUGUCAGGCAACCCCAGCAACCAAGAGCAUGGUGGUCCUCACGUCUGGACAGUGGGGUUCAUUUAUUUCUCACCCAUGUGUCUAGUGUUUAUGAAUGGCCUGUGACAUGGCACCAAGCAUUCUGCAUUUACUGAGCACCUAAAACUGUUGGGAUACUAUAUGUCAGUUGGCCUCGGUACCUCUGUGUAUUCCAUCCCGACCCCAGCACCUCCUGUGCUGCCUCCCCGGGUCAGUGAGAAGCACGCAUACCAUGGCGAGAGAAGCCUGUUCUCAGGGCACUCGGGUCAUGGAGCAGAACCAAGGCAAAAUAUAGCAUGGAGCAGUUAAUUUAGUGCAAUAAACAAUUUAUUGGAGGGAAUGGAUUCUCAGAUAGAACUGUUGGUGUUUGUUCUCCAGAUGAGGGCGGUGGAUUUGCUGCCCUCAGGGCAAUAGAGCCGCUCUCUGCGCAGGUGUGGUUUUCCUCAUGGUUGAGGUGUUGGGACCCUUUUUCUCCCAUCUCUUCCCCAAGCCAGAACCCUGCUUUGUGGAAACAUGGCUGUUGUUUCACAAUAUUACUAUUAUUAAAGUAAUAUUUACACUAUUAGAAUUAUUUUUAUUAGCAAGAAUACUGUCUUCUGGAAUAUCCAUCCAAUGAAAAAAUGCACAAUUACAGACUUUUCUUUCCGGGACUGAUAGGUGAGGAAAACAGAUGUGGGCUGUUUCUGGAAGCCUCUCUGCCACUAAUUCUGUGUGUCACAUGUCAGGUCACCUAAUCUCUCACAUCCACACUUUUCCUAAUCUUUGAGCAGGUUGAAGUUGAGCAUCUAUAAAUUGUGUGAUUUUGGCUAUGUGUAGUUCUGGCUUUUUUUUUUUUUGGUAAGCUAAAUAUUUGUAAACAGUACCACAAAUAAUACUAAAGUGAAUUUUUCAAAAUUGGACAAGCUGGAAUCCUUAGAGGUAAUGUCCCUGGUUUUGAAUUUAUAAACUACCUGCUGGUAAGACUCUCUUAAGUGGUUUCUAAACAUUUGUGUUCUUACUUCCUUCAUUUUCAAAACACUGUCUCUGUGGUUGCAAAGCGAUUUCCCUGAAAUGUAAUAUCCUGUUCUGUGUAGCCUGCUGGGAGUAUGCAAGACCCACGGGAAGUUAAGCAUGCACACAUCUUGAAGGUGAGGAGUACAGUGAAUGGCACUCUGUGGCCCCACACCCUCGUGUUGAGGCCUCAGUGAUGCCGUGAGUAUCCAGGGAAGUGCCCCGUGCGGGGGCUGCUGGAUUCCGGCCAGAAACCGGAACUCGGGUACAUGUCUCCUGGGAGAGCCAAGGUAGUCACGGUUGUCAGAGGCGCACAGGGGAUGCCACUGCAGCAAUGAACUGGGCCUUGUGCCUUUCCUGCUGAAAAAGGGGGGCAAUUUGUUACGUUUCAACACAGUAGACAAAGGAAACUGGUGAAUUUACUGGAUGUAUUUUAGAAAUUUGAAAAUUGAUGAUGAAACGAGAAAGAGACCCCAGUUACAGGAAGAGUCCUGGCACAAAAGGUUGAAAGCUUGUAGUGACAUAGAUCUUCUGGCCUGCUGGCCGCCCACCAGGAACAGGGCCAUCCGGGCAAACACAUCCCGGGCGGUUUGCGUCUGUAGUAGCUGAAUCUCCUCCGUGACUUCAGUUUUCUGGGGCUCAUCAGAAAGCAGCUGUUCUGGGUAGUUCCCUCUAGUUCCAACUUCUUUAAAAAUUGAAAAUGGAAAUAUUUAAACUGAUAUACUACAGGCAGUUACAUAGACAUUUCUUAUAAAAAUAACAUCUGAUAAUUUUGGAAGGAGUAGAAAAACGCAGAAGGAACUCACAAUUGGUAA